CAAAACUGAUAGGGAUGGGUUUGGAGGAGAGAUGGAAAUUGAACCAAGGCUGCAGCCUCUAUUUUAAGCAGAGAAUUGGUUUUGAGAAUACUGAAGAUUGCAGUUCAGGGGUGCAGUGCUGCUCUGGCACCUCUGUUUGG
This is a long non-coding RNA of Amblyraja radiata (thorny skate), 140 nucleotides long. RefSeq lists it as uncharacterized. NCBI's taxonomy places the organism in Eukaryota, Metazoa, Chordata, Chondrichthyes, Rajiformes, Rajidae. The record is from RefSeq and is a predicted model, not a curated record. The transcript is spliced from 2 exons.